UACGUAGGGGGCGAGCGUUGUCCGGAAUCAUUGGGCGUAAAGCGCGUGUAGGCGGUUCGGUAAGUCUGCUGUGAAAGUCCAGGGCUCAACCCUGGGAUGCCGGUGGAUACUGUCGGACUAGAGUACGGAAGAGGCGAGUGGAAUUCCCGGUGUAGCGGUGAAAUGCGCAGAUAUCGGGAGGAACACCAAUUGCGAAGGCAGCUCGCUGGGACGUGACUGACGCUGAGACGCGAAAGCGUGGGGAGCAAACAGG
This 253-nucleotide ribosomal RNA is filed under the name uncultured bacterium. Its description in RNAcentral is "partial 16S ribosomal RNA". It matches the Rfam family "Bacterial small subunit ribosomal RNA", at positions 524 to 776 of the family's 1533-position model. The record is from RNAcentral.